GAUGAACGCUGGCGGCGUGCCUAAUACAUGCAAGUCGAGCGAACAGAUGAGGAGCUUGCUCCUCUGACGUUAGCGGCGGACGGGUGAGUAACACGUGGAUAACCUACCUAUAAGACUGGGAUAACUUCGGGAAACCGGAGCUAAUACCGGAUAAUAUAUUGAACCGCAUGGUUCAAUAGUGAAAGAGGGUUUUGCUGUCACUUAUAGAUGGAUCCGCGCCGCAUUAGCUAGUUGGUAAGGUAACGGCUUACCAAGGCAACGAUGCGUAGCCGACCUGAGAGGGUGAUCGGCCACACUGGAACUGAGACACGGUCCAGACUCCUACGGGAGGCAGCAGUAGGGAAUCUUCCGCAAAGGGCGAAAGCCUGACGGAGCAACGCCGCGUGAGUGAUGAAGGUCUUCGGAUCGUAAAACUCUGUUAUUAGGGAAGAACAAAUGUGUAAGUAACUAUGCACGUCUUGACGGUACCUAAUCAGAAAGCCACGGCUAACUACGUG
This 497-nucleotide ribosomal RNA is filed under the name uncultured bacterium. RNAcentral describes it as "partial 16S ribosomal RNA". It matches the Rfam family "Bacterial small subunit ribosomal RNA", at positions 28 to 507 of the family's 1533-position model. The record is from RNAcentral.